RNAcentral lists this unclassified non-coding RNA (200 nucleotides) under soil metagenome. Its description in RNAcentral is "partial contains internal transcribed spacer 2 and large subunit ribosomal RNA". The record is from RNAcentral.
UGUUCGAGCGUCAGUAUAACCACUCAAGCUUAGCUUGGUAUUGGGGUUCGCGGUCUCGCGGCCCUUAAAAUUAGUGGCGGUGCCCAUCUGGCUCUAAGCGUAGUAAUUUAUCUCGCUAUUGGGUCCAGUGGUUUACUUGCCAACAACCCCUAACUUCUAAGGUUGACCUCGGAUCAGGUAGGGAUACCCGCUGAACUUAA